This 2544-nucleotide ribosomal RNA is filed under the name human gut metagenome. RNAcentral's name for it is "bacterial LSU rRNA". It matches the Rfam family "Bacterial large subunit ribosomal RNA", at positions 1 to 2572 of the family's 2925-position model. The record is from RNAcentral.
UUAAGCGACUAAGCGUACACGGUGGAUGCCCUGGCAGUCAGAGGCGAUGAAGGACGUGCUAAUCUGCGAUAAGCGUCGGUAAGGUGAUAUGAACCGUUAUAACCGGCGAUUUCCGAAUGGGGAAACCCAGUGUGUUUCGACACACUAUCAUUAACUGAAUCCAUAGGUUAAUGAGGCGAACCGGGGGAACUGAAACAUCUAAGUACCCCGAGGAAAAGAAAUCAACCGAGAUUCCCCCAGUAGCGGCGAGCGAACGGGGAGCAGCCCAGAGCCUGAAUCAGUGUGUGUGUUAGUGGAAGCGUCUGGAAAGGCGCGCGAUACAGGGUGACAGCCCCGUACACAAAAAUGCACAUGCUGUGAGCUCGAUGAGUAGGGCGGGACACGUGGUAUCCUGUCUGAAUAUGGGGGGACCAUCCUCCAAGGCUAAAUACUCCUGACUGACCGAUAGUGAACCAGUACCGUGAGGGAAAGGCGAAAAGAACCCCGGCGAGGGGAGUGAAAAAGAACCUGAAACCGUGUACGUACAAGCAGUGGGAGCACGCUUAGGCGUGUGACUGCGUACCUUUUGUAUAAUGGGUCAGCGACUUAUAUUCUGUAGCAAGGUUAACCGAAUAGGGGAGCCGAAGGGAAACCGAGUCUUAACUGGGCGUUAAGUUGCAGGGUAUAGACCCGAAACCCGGUGAUCUAGCCAUGGGCAGGUUGAAGGUUGGGUAACACUAACUGGAGGACCGAACCGACUAAUGUUGAAAAAUUAGCGGAUGACUUGUGGCUGGGGGUGAAAGGCCAAUCAAACCGGGAGAUAGCUGGUUCUCCCCGAAAGCUAUUUAGGUAGCGCCUCGUGAAUUCAUCUCCGGGGGUAGAGCACUGUUUCGGCAAGGGGGUCAUCCCGACUUACCAACCCGAUGCAAACUGCGAAUACCGGAGAAUGUUAUCACGGGAGACACACGGCGGGUGCUAACGUCCGUCGUGAAGAGGGAAACAACCCAGACCGCCAGCUAAGGUCCCAAAGUCAUGGUUAAGUGGGAAACGAUGUGGGAAGGCCCAGACAGCCAGGAUGUUGGCUUAGAAGCAGCCAUCAUUUAAAGAAAGCGUAAUAGCUCACUGGUCGAGUCGGCCUGCGCGGAAGAUGUAACGGGGCUAAACCAUGCACCGAAGCUGCGGCAGCGACGCUGAUGCGUUGUUGGGUAGGGGAGCGUUCUGUAAGCCUGCGAAGGUGUGCUGUGAGGCAUGCUGGAGGUAUCAGAAGUGCGAAUGCUGACAUAAGUAACGAUAAAGCGGGUGAAAAGCCCGCUCGCCGGAAGACCAAGGGUUCCUGUCCAACGUUAAUCGGGGCAGGGUGAGUCGACCCCUAAGGCGAGGCCGAAAGGCGUAGUCGAUGGGAAACAGGUUAAUAUUCCUGUACUUGGUGUUACUGCGAAGGGGGGACGGAGAAGGCUAUGUUGGCCGGGCGACGGUUGUCCCGGUUUAAGCGUGUAGGCUGGUUUUCCAGGCAAAUCCGGAAAAUCAAGGCUGAGGCGUGAUGACGAGGCACUACGGUGCUGAAGCAACAAAUGCCCUGCUUCCAGGAAAAGCCUCUAAGCAUCAGGUAACAUCAAAUCGUACCCCAAACCGACACAGGUGGUCAGGUAGAGAAUACCAAGGCGCUUGAGAGAACUCGGGUGAAGGAACUAGGCAAAAUGGUGCCGUAACUUCGGGAGAAGGCACGCUGAUAUGUAGGUGAAGUCCCUCGCGGAUGGAGCUGAAAUCAGUCGAAGAUACCAGCUGGCUGCAACUGUUUAUUAAAAACACAGCACUGUGCAAACACGAAAGUGGACGUAUACGGUGUGACGCCUGCCCGGUGCCGGAAGGUUAAUUGAUGGGGUCAGCGCAAGCGAAGCUCUUGAUCGAAGCCCCGGUAAACGGCGGCCGUAACUAUAACGGUCCUAAGGUAGCGAAAUUCCUUGUCGGGUAAGUUCCGACCUGCACGAAUGGCGUAAUGAUGGCCAGGCUGUCUCCACCCGAGACUCAGUGAAAUUGAACUCGCUGUGAAGAUGCAGUGUACCCGCGGCAAGACGGAAAGACCCCGUGAACCUUUACUAUAGCUUGACACUGAACAUUGAGCCUUGAUGUGUAGGAUAGGUGGGAGGCUUAGAAGUGUGGACGCCAGUCUGCAUGGAGCCGACCUUGAAAUACCACCCUUUAAUGUUUGAUGUUCUAACGUUGACCCGUAAUCCGGGUUGCGGACAGUGUCUGGUGGGUAGUUUGACUGGGGCGGUCUCCUCCUAAAGAGUAACGGAGGAGCACGAAGGUUGGCUAAUCCUGGUCGGACAUCAGGAGGUUAGUGCAAUGGCAUAAGCCAGCUUGACUGCGAGCGUGACGGCGCGAGCAGGUGCGAAAGCAGGUCAUAGUGAUCCGGUGGUUCUGAAUGGAAGGGCCAUCGCUCAACGGAUAAAAGGUACUCCGGGGAUAACAGGCUGAUACCGCCCAAGAGUUCAUAUCGACGGCGGUGUUUGGCACCUCGAUGUCGGCUCAUCACAUCCUGGGGCUGAAGUAGGUCCCAAGGGU